UCUCCUUCCAGUCUGAAUUCUCCUGGCUAUACAGGGGGUAUGGUCUGGUGGCCAUCUCUGAGACCAGGGCCAUAACUAGAGAGGAGCAGCGUUUGUCGAAGACCAACCUUUUGAAAAACAAUGGAACCAAAAGCCACAAGCUGCCCAAAAGCUUGCAGGCCCUUUUGGAGCUGGCUCCAGCACACCCCUGCCUUGACAAACCAUAGCCUCUUCAGG
Long non-coding RNA from Sarcophilus harrisii (Tasmanian devil), 216 nucleotides. RefSeq lists it as uncharacterized. Lineage: Eukaryota; Metazoa; Chordata; Mammalia; Dasyuromorphia; Dasyuridae. The transcript has 3 exons. The record is from RefSeq and is a predicted model, not a curated record.